Molecule: small nuclear RNA, 106 nt
Organism: Grammomys surdaster
Lineage: Eukaryota; Metazoa; Chordata; Mammalia; Rodentia; Muridae
Source: RefSeq, a predicted model, not a curated record
GUGCUCAUGUUGACAGCACAUAUACUAAAAUUGGGAUGAUACAGAAAAGAUUAGCAUGGCCCUGUGCAGAGAUGACAAGCAAAUUCAUGACACAUUUCAUAUUUGU